AACGAACGCUGGCGGCAUGCCUAACACAUGCAAGUCGAACGAGACCUUCGGGUCUAGUGGCGCACGGGUGCGUAACGCGUGGGAACCUGCCCUUAGGUUCGGAAUAACUCCCCGAAAGGGGUGCUAAUACCGGAUAAUGUCUUCGGACCAAAGAUUUAUCGCCUUUGGAUGGGCCCGCGUUGGAUUAGCUAGUUGGUAGGGUAAAAGCCUACCAAGGCGACGAUCCAUAGCUGGUCUGAGAGGAUGAUCAGCCACACUGGGACUGAGACACGGCCCAGACCCCUACGGGGGGCAGCAGGGGGGAAUAUUGGAAAAGGGGCGAAAGCCUGAUCCAGCAAGGCCGCGUGAGUGAUGAAGGCCUUAGGGUUGUAAAGCUCUUUUACCCGGGAUGAUAAUAACAGUACCGGGAGAAUAAGCCCCGGCUACCUCCGU
RNAcentral lists this ribosomal RNA (432 nucleotides) under uncultured bacterium. Its description in RNAcentral is "partial 16S ribosomal RNA". It matches the Rfam family "Bacterial small subunit ribosomal RNA", at positions 29 to 506 of the family's 1533-position model. The record is from RNAcentral.